GUCGUCAGCUCGUGUCGUGAGAUGUUGGUUAAGUCCGCAACGAGCGCAACCCCUACUGUUAGUUGCCAUCAUUCAGUUGGGCACUCUAGCGAGACUGCCGGUAAUAAACCGGAGGAAGUGGGGAUGACGUCAAAUCAUCAUGCCCCUUAUGACCUGGGCUACACACGUGCUACAAUGGUUGGUACAACGAGUUGCGAGUCGGUGACGGCGAGCUAAUCUCUUAAAGCCAAUCUCAGUUCGGAUUGUAGGCUGCAACUCGCCUACAUGAAGUCGGAAUCGCUAGUAAUCGCGGAUCAGCACGCCGCGGUGAAUACGUUCCCGGGCCUU
This 327-nucleotide ribosomal RNA is filed under the name uncultured Streptococcus sp. Its description in RNAcentral is "bacterial SSU rRNA". It matches the Rfam family "Bacterial small subunit ribosomal RNA", at positions 1051 to 1382 of the family's 1533-position model. Lineage: Bacteria; Bacillati; Bacillota; Bacilli; Lactobacillales; Streptococcaceae. The record is from RNAcentral.